CAAUAGCGUAUAUUAAAGUUGUUGCAGUUAAAAAGCUCGUAGUUGGAUUUCUGGUGGGAGCGAUCGGUCUGGCGCUUAGCGCGAGUACUUGCAUCGUCUCCGGCCAUCCUUGGGGAGAGUCUGUCUGGCAUUAGGUUGUCGGGCAGAGGAUCCUCAUCGUUUACUGUGUAAAAAUUAGAGUGUUCAAAGCAGGCUUAUGCCGUUGAAUAUAUUAGCAUGGAAUAAUAAGAUAGGACUUUGGUACUAUUUUGUUGGUUUGCGCACCAAAGUAAUGAUUAAUAGGGACAGUUGGGGGUAUUCGUAUUCCGUUGUCAGAGGUGAAAUUCUUGGAUUUACGGAAGACGAACUACUGCGAAAGCAUUUACCAAGGAUGUUUUCAUUAA
Molecule: ribosomal RNA, 383 nt
Filed under: uncultured eukaryote
Lineage: Eukaryota
Description: partial 18S ribosomal RNA
Rfam family: Eukaryotic small subunit ribosomal RNA
Source: RNAcentral